Molecule: long non-coding RNA, 243 nt
Filed under: Aquilegia coerulea
Lineage: Eukaryota; Viridiplantae; Streptophyta; Magnoliopsida; Ranunculales; Ranunculaceae
Description: long non-coding RNA (ACOE_LNC000412)
Source: RNAcentral
CAAAGAUUAUUCGCCAGACUAUAUAACAUAAAAAAAAAAAAAAAAACAACCUAAAACUCGAUCUCGAUCUCUCUCUCAUGGCGGCCGCAACCUAAAACUCGAUCUCUCUUUCUCACCCUCACCACCGCAACCAAAACUCCAUCUCUCUCUCUCUCUCAACUCUUCUCCCUCUCUAUUUUUAUUAGUCUCCACCACCACUACUACCCACCACCACCACCACCACCACCACCGCUGUGAUUCUUC